GGUAGCAUAAUCAUUUGUUCUCUAAAUAAGGACUUGUAUGAAAGGCCACACGAGGGUUUAACUGUCUCUUACUUCCAAUCAGUGAAAUUGACCUUCCCGUGAAGAGGCGGGAAUAAAAUAAUAAGACGAGAAGACCCUAUGGAGCUUCAAUUAAUUAGCUCAAGAGGAUUUAUUUACCAGACCGACAGGAACAACAUAUUCCUUCCAUGAGCUAGCAAUUUAGGUUGGGGCGACCUCGGAGUACAAAAUAACCUCCGAGUGAUAUUAAUCUAGACGUACCAGUCAAAAUGCUCACUCACUUAUUGAUCCAAAACUUCUUUGAUCAACGGAACAAGUUACCCUAGGGAUAACAGCGCAAUCCUAUUUAAGAGUCCAUAUCGACAAUAGGGUUUACGACCUCGAUGUUGGAUCAGGACAUCCUAAUGGUGCAGCAGCUAUUAAGGGUUCGUUUGUUCAACGAUUAAAGUCCUACGUGAUCUGAGUUCAGACCGGAGC
RNAcentral lists this ribosomal RNA (495 nucleotides) under Ursus arctos pruinosus. RNAcentral's name for it is "partial 16S ribosomal RNA". It matches the Rfam family "Bacterial large subunit ribosomal RNA", at positions 1955 to 2622 of the family's 2925-position model. Lineage: Eukaryota; Metazoa; Chordata; Mammalia; Carnivora; Ursidae. The record is from RNAcentral.